Molecule: non-coding RNA, 148 nt
Filed under: Gorilla gorilla gorilla (western lowland gorilla)
Lineage: Eukaryota; Metazoa; Chordata; Mammalia; Primates; Hominidae
Source: Rfam by way of RNAcentral
GCCGGGUGUGGUGGCACGCACCUGUAGUCCCAGCUACUCGGGAGGCUGAGGCAGAAGAAUCGCUUGAACCCAGGAGGCGGAGGUUGCAGUGAGCCGAGAUUGCACCACUGCACUCCAGCCUGGGUAACAGAGCGAGACUCAGUCUCAU